This is a non-coding RNA of Paramisgurnus dabryanus, 367 nucleotides long. NCBI's taxonomy places the organism in Eukaryota, Metazoa, Chordata, Actinopteri, Cypriniformes, Cobitidae. The record is from RefSeq and is a predicted model, not a curated record.
GAGGGGAACUCAUCGAUGAAGCUGAAGCUGAACAUAGACGUAAACUGUACCACAAUGCAUGUUCGAUCUUCAUGUUUGACUUCAUAUGGAAGCGGAAGACAUGGUGUAUUGAUGGAGCACUUGAAGAUGGGUCAUUUGGGCGACUGGUAAACGAUGAGCACAGGGCACCAAAUUGCAGAAUGAAGUUGAUCGAAGCAGAAGGGAAGCCACAUCUCUGCCUUUUUGCACUGAAGGAAAUUACUAUAGGAACUGAAAUAACUUAUGACUAUGGUGGGAAAGAAUGGCCCUGGCGUCAGAUUCCCCCUACUGUUACAAGCACUGCUGCCCAAGAGUCUAUUAAAGACCAUUUUCAAGACCAAAGCAUGUC